Molecule: microRNA precursor, 159 nt
Filed under: Glycine max (soybean)
Lineage: Eukaryota; Viridiplantae; Streptophyta; Magnoliopsida; Fabales; Fabaceae
Description: miR2111c stem-loop (gma-MIR2111c)
Source: miRBase by way of RNAcentral
UGUAUUGUAACUAGUGCUUGGGAUGCAGAUUACCUCUUCCUUAUCACCAACCCAAACCAGUUUAAUCAACUUGAUAACUUCCAUUGGUUCCACCACACUUUGAAUUAGAACAUUGUGUUAUGAAGGGGUAAUCUGCAUCCUGAGGUUUAGAGCAAUACU